UAAGGGUAAAAUAGUUAGUAAUAAAGGAGCUACCAUUCUUAUGGAAGCUAAUCACAAUCACAAUAAUACCUUUGUUUCGAAAAUGAUAAAAAGAGAUGAUGUAUCAAUAAAAGAUAAUUGGCAUUUCGACUCCAUAACUGAGCCAGAUAUAGAAGAAGAAAAUUCAAAUAUUGAACAAGUAGUACAUUAUCCAGAUGGAUCUAUAGAUUUAAAAUUUCUAAGAUCACAAUCCUUUAAUCAGGCAUCUUAAAAUAAAAGAAUGUCCUUUUCUAGACCUUCAAUCUCCAAAUCUGUAGAAGAAAGGGAAGUAACAUUAGAAGAUAUUGAAAGAAAAUUAAAAGGAGUUUAUUUCUCAAAAACAAUUCCCCAAGUAGAAUAUGUGUCUAAAAAUUUAAAAACUAAAAAAUCAAUAAGUCCCACUGCUAGUGAAAUGCUAGGAAUAAGAGAUUCCCUAUGCAUAAGUAGGUCAGAUAUAAUUUUUGAACCUAACUUUGACUAUUUAGAUAAAUUAUAGAAUAACCCAAAAAAUUCUAUCAACAAGGAAUGGUAUAAACAAAAAUAUUAUUAAAAGAAAGAUAUUCUUUUAGAGAAAAACGGUGCAAUGAUAUAAAAAGAUUAAGAUGUAAUAUUGAAUUUUUAAAAUGGUUUGAAAUCACAAGAAAAUUAGAUGAUAAAAAAGAUUCGUUAAAUAUGAUUGCUAAUAAAAGGAAUAUUACAAGUAAUAAAGUAAUAGAAUCAACAAUUUCCCUUAGAAGAAAUUAGCUUAUCAGUAGAGGGUAGAAUUGUUAUUGUCUUACCUUUUAAAUUAGACACAGUAGUUACUAAAUGUGAUCCUACAAAUAAGGAUAUAAAUAAGAUACGCCAAUAAAAUAAUUAUACAAAUCAAUUAUUACAUGUAGUAUCUAAACAGAUUCUCGAAGCCGAGAAUAAAUACUGUUUUAAAGAUAAAUCAAGUUCUUCUCAUUAUGAUACAAAGUUAUAAACUCAUCCAAUUUUUAAAUUAUCAGAAUUCUCAAAAGAUAAAUUUCCUAAAUUUGAAGAAAAGUUAGAAGUAGCCGACGAUAUUUUAAGAAAAAUUAAUGAAAGAUUAAAAAAUGAAUUAAAAGACACAAUUGACAAGGUUAUAAGAAAUUUAUCAGAAAGGAAUGGUGAUGAAAUAAACAAAUGUAGCUCUUAAUAUUCAGUGUAAAAGAAUUAUCAUCAAAAGUCCACAUUUUCGGAUAUCCAUUAUGAAGAAAAUAAAUUUUUAUCUCAUACUUCACAUUCUGAAAAAAGAAAUUGUCGAAUGGAAUAUAGAUGAAUUAACAGAACAUCAAAUAUAUAACAGACUACAUGAAAUGGGAAUGACCAUUACAACAUAUAAAAUUGCCAAGACGUCAGAUAAACAAGCAACAUGUAUAAUUAUAUCAGGUUUUACAGGUUCCAUAAAAUAUUGGUAGGGUAAUUACCUCACAGAUGACAAAAGACAAAGCAUUUUAAAUGCUACUACUAUUACUCAAACUAUUAAGAAUGAGUCAACAGGACAAAUAGUUGAAAAUCAAGUCUUAGAAGAUGCUACCGCCACUUUAAUUUAUAGCAUAGCUAAACAUUGAUAGGAGAACUUCAGCUUUUUCUAGAAAGAAGUUUAGAAAUAUUAUCAAAUUUAUCAUAUUCAAAGUUAGGUGAUUUUAGAUGGUGUAAAGACGUUUUCGUCUACAAAUUCAUGGUUAGAGAAGAUUUUCAUCAUGUUUAUUGGAAAGAAAAAUUUAUAAGUGGUUUAUCAGCUUUAUUUGUAGAAAAAGUUAGAACAAAAUUAAAAGAUAGAUUUGAGGGAAAAAUUCCUUAUUAUAAUUUAACUUAUGGUGAUAUUAUAAGUUUUAUAAAUGUCGCAGGACUAGAAUUAUGUUCAUAUAUUAAACUUAAAAAUAAACUUAAAAGGGAUAGUAAAAUAACUUGAAAUGAGCUAGGAAGCUUUUGUCAUGAUUUUGGUUAUAUAAAAUUAUCAUCCCCUUUAAAGGAAGCUACCAAAAAUAUUCAAACACAACAUAAAAAUUAUAAAGAUAAAUCCAAAAAUUCUCAUUAUUAUAAAAGACGAUUUAAGGGAUCUAAAAAAGCUUCUAAAGGUGAAAAUAAAAUCAAUAAUGAAACAUGUUGGAACUGCGAAAAAAUUGGACAUAGGGCUAAAGAUUAUUGGGUUCCAAAUAAAAAGAAAGACAAAAUAAAUAUGUUAGAAUUAAGAAAUAUUAUUAAAGAUAAAUUAUAUUCCAUUCUUGAUGAAAAUGAAAAUUGUUCUUUUAUUGAAGAAAAUCUUAGCAAUGAUAAUCAACUUAAUGUAGCAUAAAGUUUAGAUUGUAGUAAAUUAACAGACCAUUGUAAUUGUAGUGGUGCAAUUUUCACUUGCGACAGUCAUUCUAUAAGUGUUAUCACUAAUAAUAAUAAAGAAAAACUGGUCUUAUUUGACAUGAUAGGUCAUCUAGAGGACCCAACUCUCAAGAGAGAAUAUUUAAUAGCCUUAAAAGAUAUUGUUCUUGAUCAAUUGUCACGACCCAAAAGGCCAUGAGUGGCACCCACACUAACCUUCCUGUGGGAGAACCAUCUAAAUCAAACCAUUACUAAAUCACUUAGUCAGUAUUAAAAUGAUAUUUUCAUAAAACCAUCUUAACAAUAAUAAUCUGGAGUUAAUCAUCAGUAACGCAGAAACCAAACAAUCUACUUACUGAAAUUCCCAAGACCCAAAAUUCAUCGUACAAGAACUACUAACAAAGAUCAUAUCUAAAGUGAUAUAAAAAAAAUAAAGUAAAUAAAGAAUGUUUGAUUUCCCGAAAGAUGGAUAAGAACAAAAAAGAUGACCUAUGGCAGCUUAGAGACGGAGUGCUCACCCUUGGAUCAAGAUCUGCUAUCAAACUCUUGAGGUGAGGUCAUGUCUGAGCCUAGAACACUAUCUACACUCAACAAAAGAAGAGUACAAGGUAGUAUCAGUACAAACCAUUAUUACUAGUAAGUAUCAUAGGCCAACUCAAUUUAAUAGCAUGUACACAACCUAAAUUAAAUAACAAGUAGACAGGCAUCGUCACAUAACAAAUAUUCGAUGAAUCAACAGUACAGCAACAUCAGGUCAAACAGUACUCACAAACAAGCCACAAAACCAUCAAGAGUAUUAACCAUACUGUAAACAUCCACAGAAAUAACACAAAUAUGUAUACACAUGCUAUGAGACUUAGUUUUGCCCAAAUAGUCAUGACCUGUAGGUAACAAUCUAUGUUCAUGUAUCGUACCGGAGUGGUACCCAAUCCAACAUAAAUAUAAACGUACCAGCGUGGUACCCGAUCCAACAUAAAUAUAAACGUACCGGCGUGGUACCCGAUCCAACAUAAAUAUAAACGUACCGACGUGGUACCCGAUCCAACAUAAACAUAACCAAGUAGUAUCAAUAUCAAUUUACACACCCUUAUAGCAUGCCAGACAAUGUACCAAGUUUACAAGUACACUUAAAGUCAUAAGAUAAUUCCAUCAAGUCAAUUUUCAAUAAACAUUUAUACACAAAUCAACAAUCCAAACAUCAACAAUUUCAAGCAUGUCCGAAUACCAAUCCACAAGUAUCCAAUUUAGGAGCAUACACAUAAUUUAAUUGAGUCUAAACUCUAAUUAAACCGUAACCUACCUCAACCAACGAAUCCAAACGUAGUUAGUCCACAAGCGCCUUGCCCUUCCUCAAAGAUGAAGAACGUUCAAAAUCUGUUCCAACAUAAUAUAUACUCCCCGUAAAAAUACGAAUCUAAUAGCACCCGUUUAUAAAUUUUCUCUAAAAUUCUAAACCUAAAACCAAAAGGUUUCUAUUAAGAAGAUUGUAGUUGGUAACAAAUGCAUGAAAAAUUUUCCUAAGGACUAAUAUAACCAUGAAUAUGUACUGCUGGGAUUAAGAAAUCUUUACAUUAUCCACCUUUCCCCCUAUGUCAUCAUCGUAGGCCUAUGAUUAAAAAUCUUUACACAAUUAUUAGAAAAGAACAAGAUUUAUAUAACAUGGAUACCGAAUUCUAAAACAACAAUACAUUUAUUUAUGCACCACUGCCUAACAUCACACACCCUUAUAUUACUGUACACCACUUCCCAUGACAUGAUAGUUACCUAUUAGUAGAUAAAGCUUCAAUUCCACAACCUAAAUAGCCUAAUAUGUUCAUCAAUUUUCAUAGCAACGCCACUACAUCUUGUCGUUGUUAACUACUAGAAAAGAAGAUAAUUUCAAUAGAUUGGUUGCAAAUUGAUAAACUCGUUACAGUGGUACAUGUGUACACAUCUUAAUUCAAUGAAAAUCUAACCUGGAGUUUACACCGAGAGAUGAGAGAUUCUUUUUGAAAAUACAAUGGUGAAACCAUAGGUUUCAUGCCCCACUUCUUGCCCUAAUAUAUGAUGACAUUAAUAUUAUAAAUGAUAAACUUUAACCACUUAAUUUCAUUCUUAUACUAACUACAUAAGUAAAAUAAAUUAUUAUUUUAAUCUACUAAUUUAUUAAUUUAAUUUUUUAUCUAAUACCCAAAACUUUUAAUAAUGUCUCAAAAUUUGUUCACCACCCCAUAAAAAUAAAUUAAAUAAUUAAAUUGACUAAAAUGUAUAUUUCAGACCUAUUGAAAACAUUACGAUACUAAUCGGAUGUCAUCUCAACAAAAAUUGACCACGAUCGGAUUUACUUCAUCAAACCUCUAUAAUUCAAUGACUUAUUAAAUUACUACUAAACACUUUGACGAUUGGUACUAUCCUCCCCUGUCAGUCCUAAUUCAUGUGUACAAACUACGGAGAGCCCUAAAAUAAAGAUGAUGAGAAAAUUUCACAAACGACCAGGAGAGUCGUUACAUUAGAUACCAAUUAAACAACCGUUCGUCCCCGAACGGCCAAACAAGCGACAAGAAAGGAAACUAAAGAAUUAACUAAACCCUAAAAAAUAUGUGGAUACUUGCUACACAUGUCUGCUUCGGUCUUCCAAGUGGCCUCUUCAAUAGGAUGAUUCUUCCACUGGACUUUCACAGAUGCAAUCUCCUUUGUCCUCAACUUACGGACAACCAAAUACCUAGCUGAUCCUAUGCGUACCCCCAAUGCCCCAAACUAAAAGUUCAAUCAGUAUUCAACAACACAAGACAUAUUCUUCACCCAUACACAUGCAACUGUUCUAUACCGACUGAUAAAUUUAUGUGCAUACUGGUGAUAGGCGAUGCACAUAUAGGUAUGAAUGCAGGUACAAUCAAUAUCACAACUUAUCAUAACUAUCCUCAUCAGGACCAUUAUCAUCGUAAUCAACCUCCGACCUUGUACAAAAUCAACAUAUCAUCAAUAGUAUCCUCUGGCCUUGUCGGGUAUCAACAUAUUAUAAAUAUAUCCUCCGGCCUUACCGGGUAUCAAGAUCAUCACAACAUUUUCCUCCUUCCUUAUCGGAUAUAAACAUAUCAUCAUAAUAGUCAUUACCGAAUAACAUACAAUAAAAUGCUCAUAAAAAAAUAGUCAUAUCACCAUAGAAUAUCUAUCUAGUCAAUAGUUCCCAACUACUCUUUAUUAGUUAACCAACACUUAUUACAAUAGAAUCACUAGUUCACUAGUCAUCACAUAACCUCUAGUUAUUAGGUUAAACAUUAUCCUUCACAUAAUCCUUAUUUACGGGAUAGAAACUAACCACUAUUUAUUUAAUAACCAACAUCUAACAUCAAGUCAAAGUUUAUCACUAGACCAGAACCGUAAUUUAUCCGCUAUUCAGUUUUUUCAACUAAUCAUCCUAUAUCUGUUAAUCAUUAUUAAACAACACAUUACUACUUGUCACCUAAACAACUUUUAUUAACCGACACGAUUCAUUAGCUAACCAUCAUUUACCAACUAGUCCUUGCUUAAAUAUUCAUUAAUUUAACCAUUUAGCAACUAUUCAAAGUUAUUAACUAGUCACAUCUUAUUACCAAUAUCUCUUAUCAUCUAGCCUCAUUAACAUACAACUCCUCGUUCAUCGACUAAUCGACAUCACAAACUUAGUCAUCAAUACCAACUAUUCUUCAGUAAUGCUAGACUAGACCUCACUAUAAGUCACACAUUAACUAUCACUAGCUAUAAUAUUUCAACUAAACAAGAUUCAUUAACUAAUACAUUAGAUUCUUAGCCAUCAAGUGCUAUAGUCCCUUAAUAGACAACUAGUUACCACAUAGCUUAACCGUUAAUUAGGCAGAACAAUUGUAAGAUCAUGGUUUAGAUACAAUCACAUAAAUUACCAAUAUAAUACUCAUGAAUGUACCAAAUCUAUGCAUGCCAUGACCAAUAUCCAAUCAAUAAAGUCAUAAGCAACAUACCACAUCUUCCUCCAUCCCAUACCGAAGAGGUGUAUGCAAACAUAUAUGUAUUCAUAAACUGCAACAUACCCUUUACACUGAUAAACACUCCUCAAAUAUUCAAUCAUUAUCAUAACACGAUCCUUGGCCUAUUCAUUUAUUCGGAAUAGUCACAAUAUCAUAAUUACGACCUUAGGCCCAGAUACAUAUCUGGAACUCAUAUUGAUAAUCAUACUUAUAAGCUGUAGCAUAUCUCUAAUCAUCUCACAUAUAGGAGGUAUCUCACAUAUUAGAGGCGUAAUAUAGAUAGAAAUGUAACUGUCUAUGAGAUAUCUUAUUUUGAUAGGUCAUACAUCAUGACUACGAGGAAUAUCACCUCUCUAGGACAAUUUGCAUAUCUAAGAGGAACAUCAUCUCUAUUGGUCCAAUAAUCAUGACUAAAGGAAAUAGCAACUCUAUGAGUCAAUCAUCAAGCCUAAGAGAAAAUAGCAUCUCUAUGACACAUAACAUAUCUAGGAGGAAUAUCAUCUCUAAAUGACCAAUAUCACUUCCACAAAGAGUAUCAUAAUCACAAAUCAAAAGCUACAUUCUGCAAGCAUCAAUACAAGUUACCAAGUUACGAAGUAACCUUAUUCUAAGCUUUACUAGCCUCAUAUAUGUUUAAUAUUUGCAACUAAGUCCACUAGACUUAACACAAGUUUAGGACUAAGUGGACCUGACGAUUCCACUUCUAAUCCUCAAUUUCUAUAAUUAGUCACGCCAUGCCUCAAACUAGGCUAAGAUAUCUAGUUCAUCUUCUAGAUGUCAAGUAAGCCAUAUUUAAGCCUAAGAUAGCAACUUUGACUAGAAAUAAGGUACUCAAGUCAACUCUAACCAACUUAUGAUUUCAAGACUAUCGCACUAGCCCAAUAAGAGUAAAUAUACAAAUCAUGCUUCAAAUACUAAAACCACAUCCCAAAUAUAGGUUUACAUCAUAACUAUGCUACAACUAAUCUAAACUAGAGAGGGAAAAGCAAUAGGAUUAAAAAGGGGUAGAAACAUGCCAUUUUAUAGGUACUAUAAAAUUAGAGCCUACAACACAUUAUCCUCCAAAACAUUGAUAAUAUCCAUCUAAUCAUCAUACCUUAAUCACUCAACAAGAAUCUACACCAAGUAUCACUCAAAGAAAGAUCAAUCAUUCCAUUUAAGAAUUCAUUUAUUCUCCCAUUCAGGAUCAUCCUUAAUUAUGUUAUGAAUGUAACUAAGCCAUUUAAUUUUGCAUUACUAUUAUCUUGAAAAUUACUAUCCUCUAAAAGUGUCAUGUAUUAGCCAACCUUGUGGGACCUGCAAAAAUAUAGUUCAACCACAAGGACAAGUCAAUAAUAAUUUAUCUUCUCAAAAUUUUUCCUAAUGCAUAAAUCCAAAGCUACAACUUUUGUCCUGACAAUCACCAACUCAAUAUUUUUCAACGACAAAUGCUUUAUGGUCAAGACAAACCUCUCUUAUAUCACUAACACCAAUUUAAGAUAUACAGAGUCAUUCUUAUUUCUACUUAACAAUAUUUUUAUUACGGGCUUUACUUAACUCUUAAUCACCUCAAGAGUGGUCCCCACACCACUAACGCGUAAGCAAGGCCAAUCAAAAUAAAUUGAUUAUAGGUCAUUGACAGUCUCAUCACUAAUAUCGCAUUCUAGACAAGUCAUCGAUCAAAAUUCUAUGGGUAUCAACAACCUCUACUAGUUUUUGUCACCUUUAUUUAAAACUCAUUAUUUUUCCAAUCACUAAGAAUUCAUUUACAUAAGGAACUCAAAGAUAAUGUCACUUAGUUAGUCCUCGUAAGGAACCCAUUAUAAUUUCAAUAAUAGAACUGCACAAAAAUUCUAAAUAUGAUCUCAAUGUUCGAACCAUAUAAGGAUCCCUAAAUAAUAUCAAAUAAUCGAACUACACAAGGAUCCAUCCACAACAUCAUUAACAAGAACUUCUCAUUAUGAAAAAAAUAUAUCAC
Molecule: long non-coding RNA, 8259 nt
Filed under: Capsicum annuum
Lineage: Eukaryota; Viridiplantae; Streptophyta; Magnoliopsida; Solanales; Solanaceae
Description: long non-coding RNA (CANN_LNC014033)
Source: RNAcentral